Molecule: ribosomal RNA, 484 nt
Filed under: uncultured bacterium
Lineage: Bacteria
Description: partial 16S ribosomal RNA
Rfam family: Bacterial small subunit ribosomal RNA
Source: RNAcentral
AUUGAACGCUGGCGGCAGGCCUAACACAUGCAAGUCGAGCGGAUGAAGGGAGCUUGCUCCUGGAUUCAGCGGCGGACGGGUGAGUAAUGCCUAGGAAUCUGCCUGGUAGUGGGGGAUAACGUCCGGAAACGGGCGCUAAUACCGCAUACGUCCUGAGGGAGCAAGUGGGUGGUCUUCGGACCUCACGCUAUCAGAUGAGCCUAGGUCGGAGUAGCUAGUUGGUGGGGUAAAGGCCUACCAAGGCGACGAUCCGUAACUGGUCUGAGAGGAUGAUCAGUCACACUGGAACUGAGACACGGUCAAGACUCCUACGGGAGGCAGCAGUCGGGUAUAUUGGACAAAGGGCGAAAGCCUGAUCCAGCCAUGCCGCGUGUGUGAAGAAGGUCUUCGGAUUGUAAAGCACUUUAAGUUGGGAGGAAGGGCAGUAAGUUAAUACCUUGCUGUUUUGACGGUACCAACAGAAGAAGCACCGGCUAACUUCGUG